RNAcentral lists this ribosomal RNA (851 nucleotides) under uncultured bacterium. RNAcentral describes it as "bacterial SSU rRNA". It matches the Rfam family "Bacterial small subunit ribosomal RNA", at positions 66 to 914 of the family's 1533-position model. The record is from RNAcentral.
GGCAGCACGAUGUAGCAAUACAUUGGUGGCGACCGGCGCACGGGUGAGUAACGCGUAUGCAACCUACCUAUCAGAGGGGAAUAACCCGGCGAAAGUCGGACUAAUACCGCAUAAAACAGGGGUUCCACAUGGAAAUAUUUGUUAAAGAAUUAUCGCUGAUAGAUGGGCAUGCGUUCCAUUAGAUAGUUGGUGAGGUAACGGCUCACCAAGUCCACGAUGGAUAGGGGUUCUGAGAGGAAGGUCCCCCACACUGGUACUGAGACACGGACCAGACUCCUACGGGAGGCAGCAGUGAGGAAUAUUGGUCAAUGGGCGAGAGCCUGAACCAGCCAAGUCGCGUGAAGGAUGAAGGAUCUAUGGUUUGUAAACUUCUUUUAUAUGGGAAUAAAGUGAGGAACGUGUUCCUUUUUGUAUGUACCAUAUGAAUAAGCAUCGGCUAACUCCGUGCCAGCAGCCGCGGUAAUACGGAGGAUGCGAGCGUUAUCCGGAUUUAUUGGGUUUAAAGGGUGCGUAGGUGGUUAAUUAAGUCAGCGGUGAAAGUUUGUGGCUCAACCAUAAAAUUGCCGUUGAAACUGGUUGACUUGAGUAUAUUUGAGGUAGGCGGAAUGCGUGGUGUAGCGGUGAAAUGCAUAGGUAUCACGCAGAACUCCGAUUGCGAAGGCAGCUUACUAAACUAUAACUGACACUGAAGCACGAAAGCGUGGGGAUCAAACAGGAUUAGAUACCCUGGUAGUCCACGCAGUAAACGAUGAUUACUAGCUGUUUGCGAUACACAGUAAGCGGCACAGCGAAAGCGUUAAGUAAUCCACCUGGGGAGUACGCCGGCAACGGUGAAACUCAAAGGAAUUGAC